RNAcentral lists this ribosomal RNA (618 nucleotides) under uncultured bacterium. RNAcentral describes it as "bacterial SSU rRNA". It matches the Rfam family "Bacterial small subunit ribosomal RNA", at positions 334 to 945 of the family's 1533-position model. The record is from RNAcentral.
UACUCCUACGGGAGGCAGCAGUGGGGAAUAUUGGACAAUGGGCGAAAGCCUGAUCCAGCAAUGCCGCGUGAGUGAAGAAGGCCUUCAGGUUGUAAAGCUCUUUUGUCAGGGAAGAAACGGUGAGGGCUAAUAUCCCUUGCUAAUGACGGUACCUGAAGAAUAAGCACCGGCUAACUACGUGCCAGCAGCCGCGGUAAUACGUAGGGUGCAAGCGUUAAUCGGAAUUACUGGGCGUAAAGCGUGCGCAGGCGGUUUUGCAAGUCUGAUGUGAAAUCCCCGGGCUCAACCUGGGAAUUGCAUUGGAGACUGCAAGGCUAGAAUCUGGCAGAGGGGGGUAGAAUUCCACGUGUAGCAGUGAAAUGCGUAGAUAUGUGGAGGAACACCGAUGGCGAAGGCAGCCCCCUGGGUCAAGAUUGACGCUCAUGCACGAAAGCGUGGGGAGCAAACAGGAUUAGAUACCCUGGUAGUCCACGCCCUAAACGAUGUCUACUAGUUGUCGGGUCUUAAUUGACUUGGUAACGCAGCUAACGCGUGAAGUAGACCGCCUGGGGAGUACGGUCGCAAGAUUAAAACUCAAAGGAAUUGACGGGGACCCCCACAAGCGGUGGAGCAUGUGGA